Molecule: ribosomal RNA, 254 nt
Filed under: uncultured bacterium
Lineage: Bacteria
Description: partial 16S ribosomal RNA
Rfam family: Bacterial small subunit ribosomal RNA
Source: RNAcentral
UACGAAGGGGGCUAGCGUUGCUCGGAAUCACUGGGCGUAAAGGGUGCGUAGGCGGGUCUUUUAAGUCAGGGGUGAAAUCCCGAGGCUCAACCUCGGAACUGCCUUUGAUACUGGGGAUCUCGAGUCCGGAAGAGGUUGGUGGAACUCCGAGUGUAGAGGUGAAAUUCGUAGAUAUUCGGAAGAACACCAGUGGCGAAGGCGGCCAACUGGUCCGGUACUGACGCUGAGGUGCGAAAGCGUGGGGAGCAAACAGG